GACGAACGCUGGCGGCGUGCUUAACACAUGCAAGUCGAACGGAAAGGCCCUGCUUUUGUGGGGUGCUCGAGUGGCGAACGGGUGAGUAACACGUGAGUAACCUGCCCUUGACUUUGGGAUAACUUCAGGAAACUGGGGCUAAUACCGGAUAGGAGCUCCUGCUGCAUGGUGGGGGUUGGAAAGUUUCGGCGGGUGGGGAUGGACUCGCGGCUUAUCCGCUUGUUGGUGUGGUAGUGGCUUACCAAGGCUUUGACGGGUAGCCGGCCUGAGAGGGUGACCGGCCACAUUGGGACUGAGAUACGGCCCAGACUCCUACGGGAGGCAGCAGUGGGGAAUAUUGCACAAUGGGCGGAAGCCUGAUGCAGCAACGCCGCGUGCGGGAUGACGGCCUUCGGGUUGUAAACCGCUUUCGCCUGUGACGAAGCGUGAGUGACGGUAAUGGGUAAAGAAGCACCGGCUAACUACGUG
This 468-nucleotide ribosomal RNA is filed under the name uncultured bacterium. Its description in RNAcentral is "partial 16S ribosomal RNA". It matches the Rfam family "Bacterial small subunit ribosomal RNA", at positions 28 to 507 of the family's 1533-position model. The record is from RNAcentral.